GAGGAUGGUCAGCCACACUGGGACUGAGACACUGCCCAGACUCCUACGGGAGGCUGCAGUCGAGAAUCAUUCGCAAUGCACGAAAGUGUGACGAUGCGACGCCGCGUGGAGGAUGACGGCCUUCGGGUUGUAAACUCCUGUCAUGAGGGAAGAAUGUUUUGCCGGUUAAUACCCGGUGAAAGUGACGGUACCUCAAGAGGAAGCCACGGCUAACUCUGUGCCAGCAGCCGCGGUAAUACAGAGGUGGCGAGCGUUGUUCGGAUUUACUGGGCGUAAAGGGUGCGUAGGCGGUUCUGUGUGUCGGAUGUGAAAUCUCACCGUCCAACGGUGAAACUGCAUUCGAAACUGCAGAACUAGAGCUCAGGAGAGGAAAGUGGAAUUCUCGGUGUAGCGGUGAAAUGCGUAGAUAUCGAGAAGAACGCCGACGGCGAAGGCAACUUUCUGGACUGAUACUGACGCUGAUGCACGAAAGCUGGGGUAGCGAAGAGGAUUAGAUACCCUCGUAGUCCCAGCCGUAAACGGUGUGCACUUGGUGUGGGCGGCUUUGUCCCCGUCCGUGCCGUAGCUAACGCGUUAAGUGCACCGCCUGGGGAGUACGGCCGCAAGGCUAAAACUCAAAGGAAUUGACGGGGGCCCGCACAAGCGGUGGAGCAUGUGGCUUAAUUCGAUGCAACGCGAAGAACCUUACCUGGGCUUGACAUGGUACUGCACGCCCCGUGAAAGCGGGGUUCCUUCGAGGGUGUACCACAGGUGCUGCAUGGCUGUCGUCAGCUCGUGCCGUGAGGUGUUGGGUUAAGUCCCGCAACGAGCGCAACCCUUGUCGUUAGUUGCCACUCCCUUCGGGGAAGCACUCUAACGAGACUGCCUGUGAUAAGCAGGAGGAAGGUGGGGAUGACGUCAAGUCAGUAUGGUCCUUAUGUCCAGGGCUGCACACGUGCUACAAUGGACGGUACAGAUCGAGGCAAUACCGCGAGGUGGAGCAAAUCGCUAAAACCGUCCCCAGUUCGGAUUGUAGUCUGCAACUCGACUACAUGAAGUUGGAAUCGCUAGUAAAGGCGUAUCAGCUACGACGCCUUGAAUACGUUCCCGGGCCUUGUACACACCGCCCGUCACAUCAUGAAAGUCGACUGCACCCGAAGUCGCCGGGCCAACCGCAAGGAGGCAGGCGCCGAAGGUGUGGUUGAUGAUUGGGAUGAAGUCGGAACAAGGUA
This 1211-nucleotide ribosomal RNA is filed under the name metagenome. RNAcentral describes it as "bacterial SSU rRNA". It matches the Rfam family "Bacterial small subunit ribosomal RNA", at positions 296 to 1498 of the family's 1533-position model. The record is from RNAcentral.